GACGAACGCUGGCGGCGUGCCUAAUACAUGCAAGUAGAACGCUGAAGGAGGAGCUUGCUCUUCCGGAUGAGUUGCGAACGGGUGAGUAACGCGUAGGUAACCUGCCUGGUAGCGGGGGAUAACUAUUGGAAACGAUAGCUAAUACCGCAUAACAGUAGAUGUUGCAUGACAUUUACUUAAAAGGUGCAAUUGCAUCACUACCAGAUGGACCUGCGUUGUAUUAGCUAGUUGGUGGGGUAACGGCUCACCAAGGCGACGAUACAUAGCCGACCUGAGAGGGUGAUCGGCCACACUGGGACUGAGACACGGCCCAGACUCCUACGGGAGGCAGCAGUAGGGAAUCUUCGGCAAUGGACGGAAGUCUGACCGAGCAACGCCGCGUGAGUGAAGAAGGUUUUCGGAUCGUAAAGCUCUGUUGUAAGAGAAGAACGAGUGUGAGAGUGGAAAGUUCACACUGUGACGGUAUCUUACCAGAAAGGGACGGCUAACUACGUG
This 495-nucleotide ribosomal RNA is filed under the name uncultured bacterium. Its description in RNAcentral is "partial 16S ribosomal RNA". It matches the Rfam family "Bacterial small subunit ribosomal RNA", at positions 28 to 507 of the family's 1533-position model. The record is from RNAcentral.